This is a long non-coding RNA of Pezoporus occidentalis (night parrot), 958 nucleotides long. RefSeq lists it as uncharacterized. The record is from RefSeq and is a predicted model, not a curated record. Lineage: Eukaryota; Metazoa; Chordata; Aves; Psittaciformes; Psittacidae. The transcript has 3 exons.
AGCGCAAAGGCUGCCGGGAGCGGGGAAGAGCCGCCAGCUCUCGCGAGAGGUCGGGCGCGAUCUCGGCCAGGGAGCGUCGCUGAGGUGUGUUUGCAGCUAGAACUGCUUGGGAAAUGUGACAAAGCAGCAGUUCAAUUAAACCAAAACAUUUCUUGAAAGUUAUACCCAUCUCCAGCAACAGGCUCAUCAAGAACAGUUUGACACAGUGGGGGCUUCUGCACCUGCAUCUCGCUGCUGGUAGACACAGCACAGAGAGACCUGGGCAUGGAACAAGGCAGAGAUCCACUGGGAGCCUGCGAAGUGAGGUUGGAUGAUACCUAUUAACACAACCAGUGCAAAGAUUCCAUGCAGCAGACAGGGUUUUGUUCAAGGCAUGGCAAGAAGCUUCAGCCCUGAAUGUCUGCUCCUCUAAACUUCAUCUCCACAGCAAUGCUUCCAGCAUCUUCAUUGAUCACACCAAUGUGUGGUUUCUGUGUUCAUUCUUUCCUAUUCCUAUUGUCAGAGAUUUUCCCCAAGUUCCUGCUGUCCCCUGCUGUGUUGAUUGCAGCAUCUUCCUCUUCACAAGACAAUGACUUCGCUGCUUUGAUCCCAAAUGUCACCUCUGAGGUCAUCCCUCUCUCCUGGCUCUCCCCUCCCUCUCCCAACCAUCCAGCUACCUCCUCCUUUGCUAUUACAACAGCUCUGACACAAGCCCCCUCUUUCAAAGCCUUCCUUAUCUGUCCAUGCUUACUAAUCCCCUAUUUGAGCUGCCCUCCCCCUCUCCAGCCUCUCCUCUCCACUCUUUUCCAGUGUGCAUGGUGCCGUCACAUGCCAUUGCUUGGGAAAGUCAUAUGAUGAGUAGGGACUGCUGGGCAAGGCUGCAGCAGGCAUCUGCUGAACAUGGGGCCCCAGUGGGUAGCACAUCUCCAGCUCCCUCCCCAUGGCCACUGCCACCCCGUGACUCCAUCAGAUCCUGGAC